ACUACGGGUGGCAGCAGUGAGGAAUAUUGGUCAAUGGGCGAGAGCCUGAACCAGCCAAGUCGCGUGAGGGAAGACGGUCCUAUGGAUUGUAAACCUCUUUUGCCGGGGAGCAAAAAGCGGUACGUGUACCGCAUCGAGAGUACCCGGAGAAAAAGCAUCGGCUAACUCCGUGCCAGCAGCCGCGGUAAUACGGAGGAUGCGAUCGUUAUCCGGAUUUAUUGGGGUUAAAGGGUGCGCAGGCGGCGAGUUAAGUCAGCGGUAAAAUUUCGGGGCUCAACCCCGACAAGCCGUUGAACAUGGCGUGCUAGAGUGGGCGAGAAGGAUGCGGAAUGCGUGGUGUAGCGGUGAAAUGCAUAGAUAUCACGCAGAACUCCGAUUGCGAAGGCAGCAUACCGGCGCCCAACUGACGCUCAGGCACGAAAGCGUGGGUAUCGAACAGGAUUAGAUACCCUAGUAGUC
Molecule: ribosomal RNA, 459 nt
Filed under: uncultured bacterium
Lineage: Bacteria
Description: partial 16S ribosomal RNA
Rfam family: Bacterial small subunit ribosomal RNA
Source: RNAcentral